GAAGUCUGAUACGAAAGGCGGGUCACCGGGUUGCAAAAUUUGCGGGAAGGGCCAUAAAGGCGAAUGUCAUUACAAGGAUAAGCCUUGUCCUAUAUGCAAGAAAACGGGACAUAUAGCCUUAUCAUGCCCGGAGAAGGUAACGGUUUGUUACAAUUGUUACCGAACGGGUCAUAAGAAAGCAGAGUGCCCGGAGUUGGUUGAAAAUAAGGGUGGGCAGGAACAGAAAGGUGAAGCCCCCAAAGCAAAGGCGAGGUCUUUUCAACUAACAGCCGCUGAAGCAAAGAUUGAACCUGACGUGGUCUCAGGAAAAGAAGCCGGGGCAUCUAGUGGACAAACCGGUGUGGACGCUCGUUUGAAGGGCUCGCUUUGAAAGGUGAUUAGAAGUCAAGGAUGGCGAUCAAGCGACAAGAUGAAUGAACCGAACACUCCAUUUCGAAGCUUCCGCUAUGUUAAACUUGUUAAACAGUGUUUCUUUUGUUGUAAU
Molecule: long non-coding RNA, 484 nt
Organism: Helianthus annuus (common sunflower)
Lineage: Eukaryota; Viridiplantae; Streptophyta; Magnoliopsida; Asterales; Asteraceae
Exons: 3
Source: RefSeq, a predicted model, not a curated record